This 484-nucleotide ribosomal RNA is filed under the name uncultured bacterium. Its description in RNAcentral is "partial 16S ribosomal RNA". It matches the Rfam family "Bacterial small subunit ribosomal RNA", at positions 30 to 507 of the family's 1533-position model. The record is from RNAcentral.
AUUGAACGCUGGCGGCAGGCCUAACACAUGCAAGUCGAGCGGAUGAAGGGAGCUUGCUCCUGGAUUCAGCGGCGGACGGGUGAGUAAUGCCUAGGAAUCUGCCUGGUAGUGUGGGAUAACGGCCGGAAACGGGCGCUAAUACCGCAUACGUCCAGAGGGAGAAAGGGUGGGAUCUUCGGACCUCACGCUAUCACAUGAUCCUAGGUCGGAUUAGCUAGUUGGUGGGGUAAAGGCCUACCAAGGCGACGAUCCGUAACUGGUCUGAGAGGAUGAUCAGACACACUGGAACUGAGACACGGUCCAGACUCCUACGGGAGGCAGCAGUGGGGAAUAUUGGACAAUGGGCGCAAGCCUGAUCCAGCCAUGCCGCGUGUGUGAAGAAGGUCUUCGGAUUGUAAAGCCCUUUAAGUUGGGAGGAAGGGCAGUAAGUUAAUACCUUGCUGUUUUGACGUUACCAACAGAAUAAGCACCGGCUAACUUCGUG